This 310-nucleotide long non-coding RNA is filed under the name Erythranthe guttata (spotted monkey flower). RNAcentral's name for it is "long non-coding RNA (EGUT_LNC000380)". The record is from RNAcentral. Lineage: Eukaryota; Viridiplantae; Streptophyta; Magnoliopsida; Lamiales; Phrymaceae.
AACCACCGCAACUAAAAUGGCAGCCGCUUCCGCCACCGCCCUCUCCGCCGCCUUAUCGUCCCUCUCCCUCAACCGCAAACCCUCCCUCUCCUCCUCCCACCACCGCCAUUCCGCCGCCGCAAAAACCCCCCUCCCCCUCAUCUCCAACAAUUCCCUCCGCAGACUCCCCCCACCCAAGGUCAACCCCGCCGACCUACAAACCACAAUCUACCCCGACGAUGACCCGGAGGGAGUCUCCACAUUCAGCCCGCCGGAGCGCCCGGAGGACUUCAUCGCGCCGCCGUCGUUCGACGACGGACCAAUGGAGUCG